RNAcentral lists this transfer RNA (67 nucleotides) under Marmota monax (woodchuck). RNAcentral's name for it is "tRNA.Ala". It matches the Rfam family "tRNA", at positions 6 to 65 of the family's 71-position model. From Rfam's summary of the family: Transfer RNA (tRNA) molecules are approximately 80 nucleotides in length. Their secondary structure includes four short double-helical elements and three loops (D, anti-codon, and T loops). Lineage: Eukaryota; Metazoa; Chordata; Mammalia; Rodentia; Sciuridae. The record is from RNAcentral.
GGAUGUAGCUCAGUGGUGGAGCACUUGCUUAGCAUGUAAAAGGCCCUAGGUUCAAUUCCCAGUACUG